AACAUCGCGCACCUGCGGGAACCUGCGGAAGGAUCAUUAAUGAUUGGUGGCUGUUGCUGACUAGUGUUUCUAGUAUGUGCACGCCACACCUUCAAUCCCACUUACACCUGUGCACCUUCCGUAAUAGAUCUAUGUGGAUACGGAGAUAUGAAAGUUUGCGCUCUCGUACUCUGUUGAAGCAGUCUACUACGUUUUUUUACACACACACAAUAGUCAUUGAAUGUAUUUUUUAUUCUUAUG
RNAcentral lists this unclassified non-coding RNA (240 nucleotides) under soil metagenome. Its description in RNAcentral is "partial contains 5.8S ribosomal RNA, internal transcribed spacer 2, and large subunit ribosomal RNA". The record is from RNAcentral.